GCGGUAAUACGAAGGGGGCUAGCGUUGCUCGGAAUCACUGGGCGUAAAGGGCGCGUAGGCGGCCGAUUAAGUCGGGGGUGAAAGCCUGUGGCUCAACCACAGAAUUGCCUUCGAUACUGGUUGGCUUGAGACCGGAAGAGGACAGCGGAACUGCGAGUGUAGAGGUGAAAUUCGUAGAUAUUCGCAAGAACACCAGUGGCGAAGGCGGCUGUCUGGUCCGGUUCUGACGCUGAGGCGCGAAAGCGUGGGGAGCAAACAGGAUU
RNAcentral lists this ribosomal RNA (263 nucleotides) under Methylorubrum podarium. RNAcentral's name for it is "partial 16S ribosomal RNA". It matches the Rfam family "Bacterial small subunit ribosomal RNA", at positions 517 to 779 of the family's 1533-position model. The record is from RNAcentral. Lineage: Bacteria; Pseudomonadati; Pseudomonadota; Alphaproteobacteria; Hyphomicrobiales; Methylobacteriaceae.